Molecule: non-coding RNA, 1674 nt
Organism: Lolium perenne
Lineage: Eukaryota; Viridiplantae; Streptophyta; Magnoliopsida; Poales; Poaceae
Source: RefSeq, a predicted model, not a curated record
UAAGAUGUCCUGAAGCCCAGGAUAUUUUCGUCUUCCUCGCACGUGUGCCCAGGUACGCUUCCCGCAAGACACAAUGACAGUGGCUUGUGCUGGUUUGCACCAAAAGUCUUUAAUGCAAUUUUAGAUAGGGAGCAAUUUGUUGUGCCAUGUUAGUUUCUUGACAUAAUCCGGGCCAAUUUGGGUUUGAGGCUACGGGCUAUCUGAAAAGCCUGAUACAAUAUUUUCAUACUUGUGUUUAUCAUGUAUUCGUGAACUAUUUGUUUGGUUCAGAAUUUCAGACUACCCAAGUACAAAAUGAAACUUCGUUGCCAAUUUUCAAAUCACAUACUGUAUUCGGAUAUCGUUAGUUUUACUUUCUCAGUUUGAUUAUGUGCAAUACUACUACUUACAUUCACUUAGGAUGGCCUUAAAAUUUUAUAAUAUGAUCAGCUUCGGGAUGAGGCAAUUUGUUUGUUCAAUGGACUUCUGUUGAUGUGUUUCUUUUGCGAGCAUGACAAAGUGGUUAGUGCAGUGGAUGAUCUUCUAUCACUGGUAGUUGAUAAUAAUCUGGGGCACUACUUUGCCGCCACACAAGAUUCUGAUCUUCCUAAUGUGCUAUGUGUGCUUGUGUAUUAUGUGUGGAAUGAUUGUGCUCAAGACUGGACCUGAUGUUUGGUCGCUGUUGUUUUAACUCUUGUGCAUAGGAACUAAAUUAGAGACUUGGGGUUUUAAUGGUGUUGAUGUCAUAAGGAAAAGUAAACAACAGGUGCGCUCAAGAUUGAACUGUCAAGAUCAGAGUAUGAUGCUUCCUCUCUGACUUUCGGUGUUGGCUUCAACCAAAAUUCCUAUUCAGAAGUAGGCAUGUAAGCCUACCUACCUUCUAUCCUCUAAAUAAUUAGAAAAUCUCUUUUGAAGUACGAAUAGGACAAAAUCUCUCUCAGAAUGCAAUCGGACCAGAUAGCUGGUGACAGUUACGCCAAGCUUCUUGCAUAAAGCAGGGCCCUCAUAUUGUAGCUUCAUUGCUCCACAAUGGAUGCAGUCUGGUACUGUUUUCAAAACAUGAUGCUUCUUUGGCAGAUUGUGGUACACGAAGUCAUAAGGAUCAUCAUUCUGUUCACUCUGAGGCACAUCAGUUGUCAAUCGCUGGUAUGCUUCAUUUCUAUGCAACCAAUCGGACUCAUCGUCACCGCCCACCUGAGAUGCAUAGUCCUGAACAUGGGGCGCCAUACCUGUCACAGUUUACCAGAAAGUGAUCAGGUAAACAGUGGUGGAACCGCUGGGAAGAAGUGCAGCUGCGUGCGUCCUGCUGGAGCCUGUCACAUGGCGUCGGCGUGAGGGCGAUAUGGCGGCAGGUUGACGACGGCGACAGGACUGCGUGGUGGAACGCGAGAACGGCGAGAGGAAAGCGUGCUGGACGGCGAGAAUUGCUGCUGGGCGGCAACGGCGAGAGGAAGGCGUGACUGACGGGACGGCGACAACGGCGAGAGGAAGGUGUGGUGGACGGCGAGAACUGCUGCUGGGCGAGAAGUGCUGCGGGGUCUGAGGAACGGUUACGUGAUUUGUGUUCGUGUAUCGAUCGAUGUCCUUUUUUUUUCUAUGGAGCAGAGCAGACGUGGUCUGCUGGUCUGCUCCCAUCAAAGAUGUAAUAGAUCUCAGCUAUUGGAUAGGUCGAUUGAAGGGUUGAGAUUGGUUGGA